RNAcentral lists this ribosomal RNA (509 nucleotides) under uncultured Bacteroidales bacterium. RNAcentral's name for it is "bacterial SSU rRNA". It matches the Rfam family "Bacterial small subunit ribosomal RNA", at positions 13 to 507 of the family's 1533-position model. Lineage: Bacteria; Pseudomonadati; Bacteroidota; Bacteroidia; Bacteroidales. The record is from RNAcentral.
GGUAUCCUGGCUCAGGAUGAACGCUAGCUACAGGCUUAACACAUGCAAGUCGCGGGGUAACGAUAUGAAAAGCUUGCUUUUCAUAGUCGACGACCGGCAGACGGGUGAGUAACACGUAUCCAACCUGCCCCUGACACUGGGAUAGCCCUUCGAAAGAAGGAUUAAUACCGGAUGACAUCAGAAGAGAGCAUUUGACUCUGAUCAAAGACUUUGGUCGGUCACGGAUGGGGAUGCGUUCCAUUAGAUAGUCGGUGAGGUAACGGCUCACCGAGUCAGCGAUGGAUAGGGGUUCUGAGAGGAAGGUCCCCCACAUUGGAACUGAGACACGGUCCAAACUCCUACGGGAGGCAGCAGUGAGGAAUAUUGGUCAAUGGACGCAAGUCUGAACCAGCCAAGUAGCGUGAAGGAUGACUGCCCUAUGGGUUGUAAACUUCUUUUAUAAGGGAAUAAAGUCGGCCACGUGUGGCCGUUUGUAUGUACCCUACGAAUAAGGAUCGGCUAACUCCGUG